Molecule: ribosomal RNA, 2904 nt
Filed under: Escherichia coli
Lineage: Bacteria; Pseudomonadati; Pseudomonadota; Gammaproteobacteria; Enterobacterales; Enterobacteriaceae
Description: 23S ribosomal RNA
Rfam family: Bacterial large subunit ribosomal RNA
Source: RNAcentral
GGUUAAGCGACUAAGCGUACACGGUGGAUGCCCUGGCAGUCAGAGGCGAUGAAGGACGUGCUAAUCUGCGAUAAGCGUCGGUGAGGUGAUAUGAACCGUUAUAACCGGCGAUUUCCGAAUGGGGAAACCCAGUGUGUUUCGACACACUAUCAUUAACUGAAUCCAUAGGUUAAUGAGGCGAACCGGGGGAACUGAAACAUCUAAGUACCCCGAGGAAAAGAAAUCAACCGAGAUUCCCCCAGUAGCGGCGAGCGAACGGGGAGGAGCCCAGAGCCUGAAUCAGUGUGUGUGUUAGUGGAAGCGUCUGGAAAGGCGCGCGAUACAGGGUGACAGCCCCGUACACAAAAAUGCACAUAUUGUGAGCUCGAUGAGUAGGGCGGGACACGUGGUAUCCUGUCUGAAUAUGGGGGGACCAUCCUCCAAGGCUAAAUACUCCUGACUGACCGAUAGUGAACCAGUACCGUGAGGGAAAGGCGAAAAGAACCCCGGCGAGGGGAGUGAAAAAGAACCUGAAACCGUGUACGUACAAGCAGUGGGAGCCUCUUUAUGGGGUGACUGCGUACCUUUUGUAUAAUGGGUCAGCGACUUAUAUUCUGUAGCAAGGUUAACCGAAUAGGGGAGCCGAAGGGAAACCGAGUCUUAACUGGGCGUUAAGUUGCAGGGUAUAGACCCGAAACCCGGUGAUCUAGCCAUGGGCAGGUUGAAGGUUGGGUAACACUAACUGGAGGACCGAACCGACUAAUGUUGAAAAAUUAGCGGAUGACUUGUGGCUGGGGGUGAAAGGCCAAUCAAACCGGGAGAUAGCUGGUUCUCCCCGAAAGCUAUUUAGGUAGCGCCUCGUGAAUUCAUCUCCGGGGGUAGAGCACUGUUUCGGCAAGGGGGUCAUCCCGACUUACCAACCCGAUGCAAACUGCGAAUACCGGAGAAUGUUAUCACGGGAGACACACGGCGGGUGCUAACGUCCGUCGUGAAGAGGGAAACAACCCAGACCGCCAGCUAAGGUCCCAAAGUCAUGGUUAAGUGGGAAACGAUGUGGGAAGGCCCAGACAGCCAGGAUGUUGGCUUAGAAGCAGCCAUCAUUUAAAGAAAGCGUAAUAGCUCACUGGUCGAGUCGGCCUGCGCGGAAGAUGUAACGGGGCUAAACCAUGCACCGAAGCUGCGGCAGCGACACUAUGUGUUGUUGGGUAGGGGAGCGUUCUGUAAGCCUGUGAAGGUGGCCUGUGAGGGUUGCUGGAGGUAUCAGAAGUGCGAAUGCUGACAUAAGUAACGAUAAAGCGGGUGAAAAGCCCGCUCGCCGGAAGACCAAGGGUUCCUGUCCAACGUUAAUCGGGGCAGGGUGAGUCGACCCCUAAGGCGAGGCCGAAAGGCGUAGUCGAUGGGAAACAGGUUAAUAUUCCUGUACUUGGUGUUACUGCGAAGGGGGGACGGAGAAGGCUAUGUUGGCCGGGCGACGGUUGUCCCGGUUUAAGCGUGUAGGCUGGUUUUCCAGGCAAAUCCGGAAAACCAAGGCUGAGGCGUGAUGACGAGGCACUACGGUGCUGAAGCGACAAAUGCCCUGCUUCCAGGAAAAGCCUCUAAGCAUCAGGUAACAUCAAAUCGUACCCCAAACCGACACAGGUGGUCAGGUAGAGAAUACCAAGGCGCUUGAGAGAACUCGGGUGAAGGAACUAGGCAAAAUGGUGCCGUAACUUCGGGAGAAGGCACGCUGAUAUGUAGGUGAAGCGACUUGCUCGUGGAGCUGAAAUCAGUCGAAGAUACCAGCUGGCUGCAACUGUUUAUUAAAAACACAGCACUGUGCAAACACGAAAGUGGACGUAUACGGUGUGACGCCUGCCCGGUGCCGGAAGGUUAAUUGAUGGGGUUAGCGGUAACGCGAAGCUCUUGAUCGAAGCCCCGGUAAACGGCGGCCGUAACUAUAACGGUCCUAAGGUAGCGAAAUUCCUUGUCGGGUAAGUUCCGACCUGCACGAAUGGCGUAAUGAUGGCUAGGCUGUCUCCACCCGAGACUCAGUGAAAUUGAACUCGCUGUGAAGAUGCAGUGUACCCGCGGCAAGACGGAAAGACCCCGUGAACCUUUACUAUAGCUUGACACUGAACAUUGAGCCUUGAUGUGUAGGAUAGGUGGGAGGCUUUGAAGUGUGGACGCCAGUCUGCAUGGAGCCGACCUUGAAAUACCACCCUUUAAUGUUUGAUGUUCUAACGUUGGCCCGUAAUCCGGGUUGCGGACAGUGUCUGGUGGGUAGUUUGACUGGGGCGGUCUCCUCCUAAAGAGUAACGGAGGAGCACGAAGGUUGGCUAAUCCUGGUCGGACAUCAGGAGGUUAGUGCAAUGGCAUAAGCCAGCUUGACUGCGAGCGUGACGGCGCGAGCAGGUGCGAAAGCAGGUCAUAGUGAUCCGGUGGUUCUGAAUGGAAGGGCCAUCGCUCAACGGAUAAAAGGUACUCCGGGGAUAACAGGCUGAUACCGCCCAAGAGUUCAUAUCGACGGCGGUGUUUGGCACCUCGAUGUCGGCUCAUCACAUCCUGGGGCUGAAGUAGGUCCCAAGGGUAUGGCUGUUCGCCAUUUAAAGUGGUACGCGAGCUGGGUUUAGAACGUCGUGAGACAGUUCGGUCCCUAUCUGCCGUGGGCGCUGGAGAACUGAGGGGGGCUGCUCCUAGUACGAGAGGACCGGAGUGGACGCAUCACUGGUGUUCGGGUUGUCAUGCCAAUGGCACUGCCCGGUAGCUAAAUGCGGAAGAGAUAAGUGCUGAAAGCAUCUAAGCACGAAACUUGCCCCGAGAUGAGUUCUCCCUGAGACUUAGAGUCUCCUGAAGGAACGUUGAAGACGACGACGUUGAUAGGCCGGGUGUGUAAGCGCAGCGAUGCGUUGAGCUAACCGGUACUAAUGAACCGUGAGGCUUAACCUU